UACGAAGGGGGCUAGCGUUGCUCGGAAUCACUGGGCGUAAAGGGCGCGUAGGCGGCUUAUCAAGUCGGGGGUGAAAGCCCGUGGCUCAACCACGGAAUGGCCUUCGAUACUGGUAGGCUUGAGACCGGAAGAGGACAGCGGAACUGCGAGUGUAGAGGUGAAAUUCGUAGAUAUUCGCAAGAGCACCAGUGGCGAAGGCGGCUGUCUGGUCCGGUUCUGACGCUGAGGCGCGAAAGCGUGGGGAGCAAACAGG
Molecule: ribosomal RNA, 253 nt
Filed under: uncultured bacterium
Lineage: Bacteria
Description: partial 16S ribosomal RNA
Rfam family: Bacterial small subunit ribosomal RNA
Source: RNAcentral